ACGAGUGGCGGACGGGUGAGUAACACGUGGGUAACCUGCCCUUAAGUGGGGGAUAACAUUUGGAAACAGAUGCUAAUACCGCAUAAAUCCAAGAACCGCAUGGUUCUUGGCUGAAAGAUGGCGUAAGCUAUCGCUUUUGGAUGGACCCGCGGCGUAUUAGCUAGUUGGUGAGGUAACGGCUCACCAAGGCAAUGAUACGUAGCCGAACUGAGAGGUUGAUCGGCCACAUUGGGACUGAGACACGGCCCAAACUCCUACGGGAGGCAGCAGUAGGGAAUCUUCCACAAUGGACGCAAGUCUGAUGGAGCAACGCCGCGUGAGUGAAGAAGGCUUUCGGGUCGUAAAACUCUGUUGUUGGAGAAGAAUGGUCGGCAGAGUAACUGUUGUCGGCGUGACGGUAUCCAACCAGAAAGCCACGGCUAACUACGUGCCAGCAGCCGCGGUAAUACGUAGGUGGCAAGCGUUAUCCGGAUUUAUUGGGCGUAAAGCGAGCGCAGGCGGUUUUUUAAGUCUGAUGUGAAAGCCCUCGGCUUAACCGAGGAAGUGCAUCGGAAACUGGGAAACUUGAGUGCAGAAGAGGACAGUGGAACUCCAUGUGUAGCGGUGAAAUGCGUAGAUAUAUGGAAGAACACCAGUGGCGAAGGCGGCUGUCUGGUCUGUAACUGACGCUGAGGCUCGAAAGCAUGGGUAGCGAACAGGAUUAGAUACCCUGGUAGUCCAUGCCGUAAACGAUGAAUGCUAGGUGUUGGAGGGUUUCCGCCCUUCAGUGCCGCAGCUAACGCAUUAAGCAUUCCGCCUGGGGAGUACGACCGCAAGGUUGAAACUCAAAGGAAUUGACGGGGGCCCGCACAAGCGGUGGAGCAUGUGGUUUAAUUCGAAGCAACGCGAAGAACCUUACCAGGUCUUGACAUCUUUUGAUCACCUGAGAGAUCAGGUUUCCCCUUCGGGGGCAAAAUGACAGGUGGUGCAUGGUUGUCGUCAGCUCGUGUCGUGAGAUGUUGGGUUAAGUCCCGCAACGAGCGCAACCCUUAUGACUAGUUGCCAGCAUUUAGUUGGGCACUCUAGUAAGACUGCCGGUGACAAACCGGAGGAAGGUGGGGAUGACGUCAAAUCAUCAUGCCCCUUAUGACCUGGGCUACACACGUGCUACAAUGGAUGGUACAACGAGUUGCGAGACCGCGAGGUCAAGCUAAUCUCUUAAAGCCAUUCUCAGUUCGGACUGUAGGCUGCAACUCGCCUACACGAAGUCGGAAUCGCUAGUAAUCGCGGAUCAGCACGCCGCGGUGAAUACGUUCCCGGGCCUUGUACACACCGCCCGUCACACCAUGAGAGUUUGUAACACCCGAAGCCGGUGGCGUAACC
This 1362-nucleotide ribosomal RNA is filed under the name Lacticaseibacillus rhamnosus. RNAcentral describes it as "Lactobacillus rhamnosus 16S ribosomal RNA". It matches the Rfam family "Bacterial small subunit ribosomal RNA", at positions 91 to 1440 of the family's 1533-position model. Lineage: Bacteria; Bacillati; Bacillota; Bacilli; Lactobacillales; Lactobacillaceae. The record is from RNAcentral.